This 395-nucleotide ribosomal RNA is filed under the name uncultured bacterium. RNAcentral describes it as "partial 16S ribosomal RNA". It matches the Rfam family "Bacterial small subunit ribosomal RNA", at positions 338 to 731 of the family's 1533-position model. The record is from RNAcentral.
CCUACGGGGGACAGCAGUGAGGAAUCUUGGUCAAUGGGCGCGAGUCUGAACCAGCCAAGUAGCGUGAAGGAUGACUGCCCUAUGGGUUGUAAACUUCUUUUAUAAGGGAAUAAUAUGAUCCACGUGUGGGAUUUUGUAUGUACUAUAUGAAUAAGGAUCGGCUAACUCAGUGCCAGCAGCCGCGGUAAUACGGAGGAUCCGAGCGUUAUCCGGGUUUAUGGGGUUUAAGGGGUGCGUAGGGGGAUGUUAAAGUCAGUGUGAAAGUGUGCGGGCUCAACCCGGGACUGCCGUUGAAACUGGGUGUCUUGAGUGCAGGAGAAGUAUGCGGAAUUCGUGGUGUAGCGGUGAAAUGCAUAGAUAUCACGAAGAACUCCGAUUGCGAAGGCAGCAUACUG